RNAcentral lists this transfer RNA (87 nucleotides) under Candidatus Tayloriibacteriota bacterium. RNAcentral's name for it is "tRNA-Leu". It matches the Rfam family "tRNA". Rfam says of the family: Transfer RNA (tRNA) molecules are approximately 80 nucleotides in length. Their secondary structure includes four short double-helical elements and three loops (D, anti-codon, and T loops). Further hydrogen bonds mediate the characteristic L-shaped molecular structure. tRNAs have two regions of fundamental functional importance: the anti-codon, which is responsible for specific mRNA codon recognition, and the 3' end, to which the tRNAs corresponding amino acid is attached (by aminoacyl-tRNA synthetases). tRNAs cope with the degeneracy of the genetic code in two manners: having more than one tRNA (with a specific anti-codon) for a particular amino acid; and 'wobble' base-pairing, i.e. permitting non-standard base-pairing at the 3rd anti-codon position. Lineage: Bacteria; Candidatus Tayloriibacteriota. The record is from RNAcentral.
GCGCGGGUGGCGAAAUUGGCAGACGCACUACCUUGAGGUGGUAGCGCCCUCACGGGCGUGGAGGUUCAAGUCCUCUCCCGCGCACCA